AUGGCUGAUGCUGUUAGGGAUGUAGUAGGUGUGGGGACGGGUGACAGGGAGAUUCCCUUCCCCCAUGAGCCGAGCUGCGUCGAUCGUGAUAUCUUCAGGGACGUGUGUGCCGGUUUGGGACUAGAUGAGACGCUGGAUAAGAUUAGCUUGCAAAUGCUGCGGUCCGUGCUUGCUUCCCCACGUGAUCUAAGUGUCGAUUUUGAGUCCAACUGGCAAUGUGCUGCAUUUGCUCUCCUUUGCACUGCUUGCUUGUUCAAUCCUAGAGUGAAUCGGAAGGACGACCCGAUCAGCCCGGAAGUGUUCAUUGUUGUGCGUGAUCCAUCGAAGAUGUUUGAGUUUGAUUGGUGUGGAUACAUAAAAGUUGUUAUCAUGGCUGGUGUGACUAAGAUGCACGCUGAUCUCAAUGCUGGGGCGACGACGGUUCAGUUGCAAGGGUUCCUAAUGGUUCCUCAGGUAAUCACAUUUGAUGCAAUGGUGGCUCGGCGGGGGUUGCAACCAGGGCAUCCCCGCAUAACAUUGUACAAGGCUGAGGACUUCCAGCUGCUCGCUGGUUUGGACGCUGAUCGUCGAAGUAUUGGUUGA
This 582-nucleotide ribosomal RNA is filed under the name Triticum aestivum (bread wheat). RNAcentral's name for it is "partial small subunit ribosomal RNA". Lineage: Eukaryota; Viridiplantae; Streptophyta; Magnoliopsida; Poales; Poaceae. The record is from RNAcentral.